RNAcentral lists this ribosomal RNA (251 nucleotides) under uncultured Nocardioidaceae bacterium. RNAcentral's name for it is "partial 16S ribosomal RNA". It matches the Rfam family "Bacterial small subunit ribosomal RNA", at positions 524 to 774 of the family's 1533-position model. The record is from RNAcentral. Lineage: Bacteria; Bacillati; Actinomycetota; Actinomycetes; Propionibacteriales; Nocardioidaceae.
UACGUAGGGUGCGAGCGUUGUCCGGAAUUAUUGGGCGUAAAGGGCUCGUAGGCGGUUUGUCACGUCGGGAGUGAAAACCAGGUGCUUAACACCUGGCUUGCUUUCGAUACGGGCUGACUAGAGGUAUGCAGGGGAGAACGGAAUUCCUGGUGUAGCGGUGAAAUGCGCAGAUAUCAGGAGGAACACCGGUGGCGAAGGCGGUUCUCUGGGCAUUACCUGACGCUGAGGAGCGAAAGUGUGGGGAGCGAACA